Molecule: long non-coding RNA, 229 nt
Filed under: Gossypium barbadense (sea-island cotton)
Lineage: Eukaryota; Viridiplantae; Streptophyta; Magnoliopsida; Malvales; Malvaceae
Description: long non-coding RNA (GBAR_LNC009031)
Source: RNAcentral
CAUUAAGUAUAGAUGGUAGAAAGGGUGACCAAAGGCUUGUAAGAUAGCCUAUUAGGGUCCACAUGGUUAGACACACGGGCGUGUGUCUAGGCCGUGCGUGACACACGAUUCCUUCCCAUGGGUGUGGGCUAUGGUCGUGUGUCCUCUGCACUUAAAAUUUUAUAUCAAUAGUGCACACGAGUAGGCCACACGGGCGUGUGUCCCUGUCGUGUCUAAAAGACAGUGUUGC